Molecule: long non-coding RNA, 1286 nt
Organism: Dalotia coriaria
Lineage: Eukaryota; Metazoa; Arthropoda; Insecta; Coleoptera; Staphylinidae
Exons: 3
Source: RefSeq, a predicted model, not a curated record
CAACUUGUUUACAAGGCACGUUCGCGAGAUACAGGUUACAUGCAACGUCUUGCAACUUUUGUUGCGAUAUUAUUUGGCCAAUGGAUUGGAGCAUGGACAAUCGCCUUCGGGAAAACCGAGAAAGAACGGUCUUGGUGAAUUUUGCUCCAAAUAGUUGCCCGAGGAUCAACUCUUGGCUACCAGAAGUGGCGUCCGUCUUGUCCAUGUUCCAGCUACCUUCAUGCGCCGCGGGAGAGAAAGAAUUUGAAGCGUAAAUAAACCCGGAUGCAUACUACGGCGGAAAAUUCAUUCGAUAAUCACCUGCGAUUCGACGUGUUCGCAUAUGACUGGUUUUGCUACGAUAUCAACCAAAGGGACACCUACAAACCUGGUGGAGAGCAAACGGGUUUCGAUGGGAUGCGAGAAUUUGUCACUUAUUUUGAAAUCGCUUCUUGCGCCCACACAUUAUUUUUCAACCCAGUACAACUAAUGCGCACAGGGAAGGACACAAAAAAAACUUCUCGAUUAUUAAACCACGAAUGCAUUCAUUUAGUUAACUUAUGAUUAGCAUUGUAUAUAUUUAGGGACCUUUGACAAUUAAUGUGAUGAGUGCUUGUGAAAUAACAUGCAGUGUAAACACUUUAUAACGAUACUUACUAAGAACAAAUUUUACUCAUCUAGUAAUUUGCUACAAAACCAGCCUUCUUGUACGUAUUUCUACCUCAUUAUUAAAAAAAAGUUAUCAAGAGUUUACAUUGUAUUGCACAUUUAAUCGCUUCCCGAUUAUUGCUGAAAACUGGCGGAGUUGUCUCUGUAUUUCUUGGCAGUAAUGCGGAUAAGGGUAUUUGCUAGUUGGCACACUGUUGUCUAGCUUUAACUCGCGUAGGGGACGUUUCUAGAGAAAUUGUCCAUUGGGUUUGUUGCCGAAGUUGCGUGUGUAACAUGUGUAAAUUUGGUUGUGCAGUGGAAUUUUUACUUGAAGGGUGAAAUUGUUUUUCAUUGUUAUCCAUGUUUCAAUCAUUAUUUCUAACUGUCGCUCUCGAAGGGGUAUUGUCGAAAGAAACGCAAUUCCAAUUGUAACGCAUUCGAAUAGUCCGUCGAUAAUGUUAUAAUAAUAUAAUUUUAUAAUUUGUGAUAAGAUUAUAAUUUGUAUGAUUAGCACACGGGAAACCGGCAAGAAUGACAUUUUUUGUGUUUCAAUGUGCUAAUUUUUUAUUGUAUUCGGAGUCUAGCAGGCGCCCGAAUUGUUAUAAGAUUACGAUUAUUUUAUCAGAUUUUAAGUAUUAAAUUUGUUUAUCUUUUUCAUA